AAGGAUGAAGCUUAUACCUCAAGCAUUUAACUGUUAAUUAAAAGACAGCACUUAGUGCCUUCCUUU
Molecule: transfer RNA, 66 nt
Filed under: Dermatobranchus otome
Lineage: Eukaryota; Metazoa; Mollusca; Gastropoda; Nudibranchia; Arminidae
Description: tRNA-Asn
Source: RNAcentral